This 75-nucleotide transfer RNA is filed under the name Nisaea sp. RNAcentral describes it as "tRNA-Val". It matches the Rfam family "tRNA". Rfam says of the family: Transfer RNA (tRNA) molecules are approximately 80 nucleotides in length. The record is from RNAcentral. Lineage: Bacteria; Pseudomonadati; Pseudomonadota; Alphaproteobacteria; Rhodospirillales; Thalassobaculaceae.
GGGCGCGUAGCUCAGCGGGAGAGCAUCGUCUUCACACGGCGAGGGUCGCUGGUUCAAUCCCAGCCGCGCCCACCA